Molecule: transfer RNA, 73 nt
Filed under: Daphnia pulicaria
Lineage: Eukaryota; Metazoa; Arthropoda; Branchiopoda; Diplostraca; Daphniidae
Description: tRNA-Met
Rfam family: tRNA
About the family: Transfer RNA (tRNA) molecules are approximately 80 nucleotides in length. Their secondary structure includes four short double-helical elements and three loops (D, anti-codon, and T loops). Further hydrogen bonds mediate the characteristic L-shaped molecular structure. tRNAs have two regions of fundamental functional importance: the anti-codon, which is responsible for specific mRNA codon recognition, and the 3' end, to which the tRNAs corresponding amino acid is attached (by aminoacyl-tRNA synthetases). tRNAs cope with the degeneracy of the genetic code in two manners: having more than one tRNA (with a specific anti-codon) for a particular amino acid; and 'wobble' base-pairing, i.e. permitting non-standard base-pairing at the 3rd anti-codon position.
Source: RNAcentral
GCCUCGAUAGCACAGUAGGCAGCGCGCGAGUCUCAUAAUCUCGAGGUCGUGAAUUCGAACCUCACUCGGGGCA